CGGGGAACGGGCACUUGAAAGUCGGGGGCUUCGGCCCCAUACUCUGCGUAUGGUUGUAAUUCCGGCAAUCUGGAGGCGUUCUGGACGCGGGUUCGAUUCCCGCCACCUCCACCUAAGAGUUCGAAGAGUUUUCGAUAAGUCCGGGAAUUCUUAGGUGGGGGUGUACUGGUUUCGACAGGGCGGGCGAAGGUGAGCAGGCAACUCGUCAGGCGAUCGACGUUAAUGAAGCAAAUCUCUAAACGCCAACGAUGAGCGUUUCGCAAUCGCCGCUUAAGGCCUUUGCCGAGGCUGCUUGAGCCUUGUCACCAAAGAAAAGCCGGCGGGGACUUCGGUCCCCGUCGUCA
This 344-nucleotide transfer-messenger RNA is filed under the name Candidatus Accumulibacter sp. 66-26. It matches the Rfam family "Betaproteobacteria transfer-messenger RNA". Rfam says of the family: Bacterial tmRNA, also known as 10Sa RNA or SsrA, is named for its dual tRNA and mRNA-like properties. Its role is to liberate the mRNA from a stalled ribosome. RNAcentral also lists the same sequence under 1 other name. Lineage: Bacteria; Pseudomonadati; Pseudomonadota; Betaproteobacteria. The record is from RNAcentral.